This 73-nucleotide transfer RNA is filed under the name Chelonia mydas (Green sea turtle). It matches the Rfam family "tRNA". Rfam says of the family: Transfer RNA (tRNA) molecules are approximately 80 nucleotides in length. Lineage: Eukaryota; Metazoa; Chordata; Testudines; Cheloniidae. The record is from Rfam by way of RNAcentral.
GCUUAGCUAGCUCAGUUGGUACAGCCUCAGCCUUUUAAUCUGAGGGUCCAGGGUUCGAGUCCCUAGUCAGGCA